RNAcentral lists this ribosomal RNA (481 nucleotides) under uncultured bacterium. RNAcentral describes it as "partial 16S ribosomal RNA". It matches the Rfam family "Bacterial small subunit ribosomal RNA", at positions 30 to 504 of the family's 1533-position model. The record is from RNAcentral.
AUUGAACGCUGGCGGCAGGCCUAACACAUGCAAGUCGAGCGGAUGAAGGGAGCUUGCUCCUGGAUUCAGCGGCGGACGGGUGAGUAAUGCCUAGGAAUCUGCCUGGUAGUGGGGGAUAACGUCCGGAAACGGGCGCUAAUACCGCAUACGUCCUGAGGGAGAAAGUGGGGGAUCUUCGGACCUCACGCUAUCAGAUGAGCCUAGGUCGGAUUAGCUAGUUGGUGGGGUAAAGGCCUACCAAGGCGACGAUCCGUAACUGGUCUGAGAGGAUGAUCAGUCACACUGGAACUGAGACACGGUCCAGACUCCUACGGGAGGCAGCAGUGGGGAAUAUUGGACAAUGGGCGAAAGCCUGAUCCAGCCAUGCCGCGUGUGUGAAGAAGGUCUUCGGAUUGUAAAGCACUUUAAGUUGGGAGGAAGGGCAGUAAGUUAAGACCUUGCUGUUUUGACGUUACCAACAGAAUAAGCACCGGCUAACUUC